UGUUACUUCUAAUAUUUUGUUUUAGAUUAGUAUUAGUUUUUGAAAUUUAACGGAUUUGGCGGCAAGAUAGCCCAUUUAGAGGAACCUGUCCUAUAAACGAUGAGCCACGAGUUACACUACUUUUUUUAGUAAACAGUUUGUAUACCGCUGUUGUCAGUCAGUUUUAGUAGGAAACUGUCUUUUAUUGGUAUAUCCAUUAACUUCAAGUAAAGGUGCAGCUAAUGAAAAAGUAAGAGAUGGGUUACAAUUUAGUGGAUAAAUAAUGAAUAAUAAUAUGAAAAUUUGUUUGAAGGUGGAUUUAAUUGUAAAGUUUAAGCUAACUUGAUAAGCGCACUAGCUUGU
This 342-nucleotide ribosomal RNA is filed under the name Microeuraphia withersi. RNAcentral describes it as "partial 12S ribosomal RNA". The record is from RNAcentral. Lineage: Eukaryota; Metazoa; Arthropoda; Thecostraca; Balanomorpha; Chthamalidae.